This 77-nucleotide small nucleolar RNA is filed under the name Sorex araneus (European shrew). Its description in RNAcentral is "Small nucleolar RNA SNORA15 (ENSSARG00000019420.1)". It matches the Rfam family "Small nucleolar RNA SNORA15", at positions 1 to 80 of the family's 137-position model. Rfam says of the family: ACA15 is a member of the H/ACA class of snoRNA that guide the sites of modification of uridines to pseudouridines. The record is from RNAcentral. Lineage: Eukaryota; Metazoa; Chordata; Mammalia; Eulipotyphla; Soricidae.
GUAUGGCUGAAUACUGUGUUCUUUUAAUCAGUAUUUUACACAUCUGGACACCAUGCAAAGUAAUGUUCCCUUGAAAU